Molecule: RNA transcript, 1191 nt
Organism: Calypte anna (Anna's hummingbird)
Lineage: Eukaryota; Metazoa; Chordata; Aves; Apodiformes; Trochilidae
Gene: C21H1orf50
Gene name: chromosome 21 C1orf50 homolog
Exons: 5
Source: RefSeq, a predicted model, not a curated record
UGAUGGCGGCGGAGGGGGAAGCGGGGCCCGGUGCGGCAGCGGGACUGGCCCUGGUGGAGGGCAGCUCAGGCCGGGCUGCCCGCGUCGGGGACCCCGGGGAUCUGGUGGCCCUGGCCCGGCAGGUGCAGCAGGUGAGGGCAGACGACUUCAUCCGUGCCAAUGCCUGCAACAAGCUGGCUGUCAUUGCCCAGCAGAUCCAGUACCUCCAGGAGCAGGCACGGAAGAUCUUGGAUGAAGCCAGCAGAGAUGCUGAUCUGAACCACGUGGCCUGCAACCUCGUGAAGAAGCCAGGGAACAUUUACUACAUGUACAGGAGGGAGAGUGGCCAGCGGUACUUCUCCAUCCUGUCUCCCAAGGAGUGGGGGACCAGUCCUCAUGAAUUUGUUGGUGCCUAUAAGCUCCAGCAUGACAUGUCAUGGACUCCGUUUGAGGAGAUUGAGAGAAGAGAUGCUGAGAUGAAGGUUCUGGACAAGCUGCUGAGCCAGCAGGCAGCACUGCCCCCGUGUACAGAGCCCAACUUCCAGGGCUUGACCAAGUGACAUCAGUGACCAUCCAGGUCCCCCCUGUGCAGAGUGUUCUGCCUAAGGCAGAGCAAGGAAAGAGACCAAGAAACAAAAAUGCUGAUGUUGCCAGUACUUGCUCUGUGUUUGAACAAGGUGGUCCAAACCCCUGAAUCUGGCACACGUUAUGACCUGGAGCUCUUUCCUCUGGGAAGAACACCCUCAAAUUGCCAUGCAGGGCUCAGGCACUCUUCAAAAGGUGUGUGUUUCUCUGUCCUAGUGCCUUCCCCUGGGCUCUGAGUGCUUGAGCUGCCAAGAUGAGACAGGAGUGUGCAGGGACACUGAAUAAUAAUGAAAAUAAAUGAGAAUAAGUAAAUAAAAGAGAAUUUUAAUGAGAAAAUAAAUCAGUAUUGAGCUCAAGUGUACCUCUGAGACAGGCCCUGUGUGGAAAGCAUCCCUUUGGCUUUACCAGGUGGCAUAAGGGGUUAGUAGGACAACUCCAGCCUCCUUUUCCACCAAGAUAAUUGGGAAGAGGCAAAGGCCAGAGGUGCUGAGAUGUUCUCCCUCUGCCCAGCUUCACAGGGCUCCUCUGCACAAAGCCUGGUUUGGACUAUACUGAUGGAGAAGAUAUCCAGGUUGGGUGCUGGCAUCUCAAGUCAGAUCUGCUCUCAUCUUCUCCUGACUUACUGAC